RNAcentral lists this long non-coding RNA (542 nucleotides) under Bemisia tabaci. RNAcentral describes it as "lncRNA ENSSSA1UGG003828". Lineage: Eukaryota; Metazoa; Arthropoda; Insecta; Hemiptera; Aleyrodidae. The record is from RNAcentral.
AAGAGGAGGUGGGGGGAGUGUCCGCUGUCCGUUGAUCGGCAAAGUGCGAGCUUCGAGCUAUCCUAAUCGGCGCUUAUGAAUGGCGACGUACUCCCAAGGUCACUUGCCACAAGGGAGCGGGAGGGGGUGCAGGGCCCCCCUCGCCCCCCUUGCGCAUCCGUCCCGUUCGCGGGCGCGCGCCGAUGCAGUCUCUCGUUGUUCGCCGGUCCGCGCGCGUCGUCGCUAGACUCGCGGUAGCCCGAAAGUUCGGAAAGCUCUCGCGACUUGUGCUGUUUCGCCUCACGCGGCUUUCUUUUACCGGGGCGCUUUGGAAUGUCACGAGUGGAGGAAACAGUAGAAAGUCAGAGAAAAAGCUUGAGUCAAUUAGAAUUGUGGUCGAUCAGAAGAGCGACCUAUCGUUAUUUGAUGCAAAAAUGAUCGGCGUUCGAAAUCUGAGCGGAAUUCGAAAACUCCGUUUUUUCCUUCGCAACGCGCUCAUCUCCCGCUCUCGCAUGCAGUCUCUUUCGCGCUUCGUCAGGUCGUUCGUCAAAUUCACUUCGUGA